CUUGUACACACCGCCCGUCACACCAUGGGAGUUGGUUUUACCUGAAGACGGUGCGCUAACCCGCAAGGGAGGCAGCCGGCCACGGUAGGGUCAGCGACUGGGGUGAAGUCGUAACAGGGUAGCCGUAGGGGAACCUGCGGCUGGAUCACCUCCUUU
Molecule: ribosomal RNA, 156 nt
Filed under: Bradyrhizobium japonicum
Lineage: Bacteria; Pseudomonadati; Pseudomonadota; Alphaproteobacteria; Hyphomicrobiales; Nitrobacteraceae
Description: partial 16S ribosomal RNA
Rfam family: Bacterial small subunit ribosomal RNA
Source: RNAcentral